GAUGAACGCUGGCGGCGUGCCUAAUACAUGCAAGUAGAACGCUGAAGCUUGGUGCUUGCACCGAGCGGAUGAGUUGCGAACGGGUGAGUAACGCGUAGGUAACCUGCCUCUUAGCGGGGGAUAACUAUUGGAAACGAUAGCUAAUACCGCAUAACAGUCGAUAUCGCAUGAUAUUGAUUUGAAAGGUGCAAUUGCAUCACUAAGAGAUGGACCUGCGUUGUAUUAGCUAGUUGGUGAGGUAACGGCUCACCAAGGCAACGAUACAUAGCCGACCUGAGAGGGUGAUCGGCCACACUGGGACUGAGACACGGCCCAGACUCCUACGGGAGGCAGCAGUAGGGAAUCUUCGGCAAUGGGGGCAACCCUGACCGAGCAACGCCGCGUGAGUGAAGAAGGCUUUCGGAUCGUAAAGCUCUGUUGUAAGAGAAGAACGAGUGUGAGAGUGGAAAGUUCACACUGUGACGGUAACUUACCAGAAAGGGACGGCUAACUACGUGCCAGCAGCCGCGGUAAUACGUAGGUCCCGAGCGUUAUCCGGAUUUAUUGGGCGUAAAGCGAGCGCAGGCGGUUAGAUAAGUCUGAAGUUAAAGGCUGUGGCUUAACCAUAGUACGCUUUGGAAACUGUUUAACUUGAGUGCAGAAGGGGAGAGUGGAAUUCCAUGUGUAGCGGUGAAAUGCGUAGAUAUAUGGAGGAACACCGGUGGCGAAAGCGGCUCUCUGGUCUGUAACUGACGCUGAGGCUCGAAAGCGUGGGGAGCAAACAGG
RNAcentral lists this ribosomal RNA (765 nucleotides) under uncultured Streptococcus sp. RNAcentral's name for it is "bacterial SSU rRNA". It matches the Rfam family "Bacterial small subunit ribosomal RNA", at positions 28 to 776 of the family's 1533-position model. Lineage: Bacteria; Bacillati; Bacillota; Bacilli; Lactobacillales; Streptococcaceae. The record is from RNAcentral.